GAAAUAUUGGGGAUAACAGUUUCAGAGUCUAUAUAUUAUUGCUCUAUCUGCAUAUUCAUGGAGACAGGAGCACCAUUUGUCUUACAUACAGUACGUUUGUCAAAAAUUGAUAAGUAUAAAGAGUCAAAUAGCCAGUUUGUGGGUGUUGUUAAUAAAACCUAAUGUCAUUUAUGGUAAUGAAGCAGUCUAAAAACGCUUAAACUUUCUAAAACAAUUUGUAAAAUACUAUCAACAUAUGGUCAUAAUGACCACUUACAGCUAUACCAAGCAUCUGUACAAAAGACAUUGCUAGCUUAGGCUUUUAUUGCAUCCUGUACAGACACUCUGUAGUGUGCUUGGUAUUCUCAGUUAUAUAGCCAUGACAUUUGUCCUGCAGAAUUUGCUUCAAUGUGUUGUGGAAAGGAGGGGCUGCCAUGUAUAGACCCUCUUCAGAGAUGCAGAUCCAGAACUGAGUCCUGAUAGAAAAAUAAUUUCGCUGGGCAUCCCCCGGCCCUUUUUAGGGAAGUAGGUAUCUAGAUGGUUAAAUUGUUUUAUUGGGAUCAGAGGUGAUAUAGUAUUAAUACUAAUAGUCUAACUAUCCAUAAUAUUCUCAUUCUUAUUAGGCUGAUGGACUUGAGGAACCUAUAUUAUUGUAUUACCUAUUUUUCUAUUAUGCCCUAUGAAGAUGUUUUCUUUUGGAUGGAAACAUUUUUUUGUGGUGCAUGUCUGAGAAGCACAGUAACUUAUAUUUUGUUAUAUAGCAAUAUUGUCAAUUUUGUCAAGACAGUUUUACAAUUUGGGGUCCUAUCAAUGAAAAAAAUGGGUCCCCAUGACAUGUCACACAUUUUGAAAUCUGCCCAUCAGUUGACUUCUUUCAAGCAGAAGGAGGGGCAGGGCACCGUGACCAUACACAGAGUGUUUCAGCUGCUCUCUGUAAAUGGUCUGCCUUGAGGGAGGGGAUGUCAGUCAGUGUCACUAGCUACUUUAGGGGUGAUCCUGCACAUAUUGCUAAAAGACCUACUUUUUUGAUGGGUGCCUCUAUGCAGCCUGCUCUCUUGACUUUGACCUUUGUUGCCGAAGGAGGGGAGGUAAAAUUGUCAGGUGGGAUUUUGGGGUAACUUUGCCACAAAUACAUUUUUGAGGCCCUUGCACUCUAGAAAGUCAACCUAGUUCUUGGAAUGGAAGGGGUUAACAAAGUAUCAAGUGGACAUUUUUUUAAAAAUAAAAACACAUCUAAAUUUAUACAUUUAAUUAUAUUCCUUAGAGACCAAUAGGGCACAUAGGAAAUAAAAUUGAAAUGUACCUGUGGUAUUUUAUUAUGAAAUCUGGUUUUGCAUGAACCACAUUGUUUGUAAAACUUAUCAUCUUAAUGGUUCUCAACAGGAAACCAUACUUCAAUUAAAUUAACCUGCAUAAUCAUUAUUAUGAGUAUUGCAUCUUGAACAAUGAUUGAUCGAAAUUAGUUUGAUGCACCAAAAUGUGAGCAGAAAAUGUGCAUAUUAGAAAAUCUUUUUCAAGUUUCACAAGAUAAAUUGGAAAACCUUAAGUGGUCAGCAUGUUACAUUGCGAAGAAAGGUCUAAAGUGAUGAUUAAACCCUUGAAUUACAUUUCCCAUGAUGCUCAGGGAAUGUUCCAACAUGUGUAGUUGCCAAGGGUUUCCAUUACUGGGUGGGAUCUACUGUUGAAAUACCACUCCAAGCACCAUAAUCACUACAGUAUACUGUAGUGGUUAUGGUUCCACGAGUACCCUGGCACCCUUCAAGUGUAAGUAGUCAAACUGUCUAGGAAUGGUUUGACAACUUACUUGGUGUCUGUCAGGAACUAAUCACUCCUCCAGUACAAUGUCCCAAAAUGCAAAAAAACACACAUUUUGGAUAUUAAAUGAAGAGAAUUGGAUGGUAUUAUGUUUAUUACCAUUUAUAUAGUGCCAACAUAUUCAUUAGUGCUUGGAAUGUGACAUUUAGACUAAGAAAUAAAUGACAAAUGCGUUACUAAGACCUGAUUAGACCUUUUUUUUAUAAUCUAGAGGAAGUGGUGGAAUAAGAAGACAAUCAUUACAGUGGAACAGAGAUUAGCAUGAAUAACUACUGUAUCUGAUUAAGUAUAUAAAAUAUGUGAAGUAUGCAGGAAAGGUAUAGUGUGAAAUGUGGGUGGAACCACACUUUAUUUAAGGAGUGAUGGUGCAAGCUGGUAUAAAGAGAAUAUUACCCAGAAAGAUGCUAAGCUUUCUCAAAGAGAUGAGUUUUGAGAAACUUUUAAAAGUCUGGGGGCUAGGGAAAGUCUGAUAGAAUGAGAUGGACAUUUCACAGUAAAAUGACUUAUUCAUACUGGGUUGAAUGGGCUUGUAGGAUAUUUUUCCUUAUGUCACUGUGAUAUCUGUAAAACAGUUUUUUGCAUUGCAGUCGCAUUGUCUACCCGGCAACCUCCGGUUAUAGAAAACGUGCAUAGUUGCCAACUGUCCAAUAUUUUGCUGAGUCUGCCCCAGUUUUAGAUCAACUGUCCCAGCAAAAACAGGUUUUACAAAAAGGUGUGCUGUUUGUUCAAAUGGGCAAGAGAGAGGAACUUGGAAACAAAAUGGAUUGGCAGGUACACUACCUAAAAUGUUUAAUGGCGGAAGAUAUAAGCAUCAUGUGCAAAUGUUUUGGGACACAGCCCUUUCUCAACUGGGGGUAUUGUACACUGAGAAAGGACUGUACUAGUAUACCUACAAAUCUAUUCUGUGGCCUCUCCUCUGUCGGAAAACAGGUCUGUGCCCUACUUCUCCAACUCUGUGCAAGGAAAACUACAUUUUCAGUUUACUGAAGGCAGAAAAAAAGAAAACCUUUUUUUUUUUUUUUUUUGCAAAAGUGACAAAGCUCCACACUCAUUGAUUAAGCCAGCUCAGGCAUUUGAGACAAGUAUGUAACUUGACAGGCUGGCCCUUACCCUUUCAGCCAGGAGGUAAUCAAUAUGGUUCCCAGAAGAUACUGAAAGAGAGAGAUUAUACAAAAAGAAAACUAAGAUAUAAUUAUCUAAUGAUUGUGCUAUAACAUUGAUAUGAAGAUACACAGAGAUCAAAGAAAUCUGUUCUCUCCGAGCAUCAUUUUACAUUCAAAAUGGCCGCACCGUGUAGUUUGAAGUAGCGAUAGGAUUUAACUCUUUGCAGCUGCUAGGUUUUUCUGGUGAUCCCAGUUAGCAAUCUCCAUUACAUGUUUUUUUGUCAGCUACUAUGUUAGCUACUUCAUCACAAGAAGUAUUUCAAAGGAAGCCAGUGGAUGAGCACUUAACUUUGUUUACAAUAGUUACUUUUUCAUAAUUAGCAAGAUGUCACAUCAACAUUGGAGUCUAUGGCCUAUUGUUCCGAAGAGGAAGGUUAUAGCAAACUAUUGAGAUUUAUUUCAUUCUAUACCGUACAGUUUAUUUAAUUCUCCACCUGUACACUUCUCAUUCAUUAUACACCUUUAUAUAUCGUUCCAUUCUUCACCUGUACAGUUUGCUUCAUUCUACACCUCUAUACUUCUUUUCCAUUCUACACCCUUAUAUAUUGUUCCAUUCUUCACCUGUAUAUACUUUGUUUCAUUCUACACCUGUACAAUUUGGCUUAUUCUACACCUGUACAGUUUUCUUUAUAGGCUCCAUAAAGCAAGGUAGGAGUUGAAAUAGGGAUAUAUAUCCUACUCUUCUGCCUAAAACCAUACUACAAUGUAAAAAAAAAUUCUGAUUGUUUUUCUUAUUGUUAUUGAUUUAUACAUUAAGACAAAGUUCUUCCCCCUUUCCAUAAACCAUCCUUGGUUUGUACAUCUCAUGUUAUUAUAGGCCAUGCGGAAAUUUUGAAAGGAAACCAGUGGUAAGCAGAUUCUAGCACAGAUAACACAAUCCAUCUCUCUAUAAAACAAAUUAACAUAAAUUAACCUGUAUUUACUUAUAGCAUACUUACAUUCUGCAAGACGCUCUUAAUUCUCUUUUGCUAGCUAAGUGCUGGGUUUAAAAAGAUUAAUUAUUUUUUUUUUUAAAUGAUAAAAGCAGCAUUUUUUUUUCCCCAUAAACCUAUCUGUAGUUGUUCUUCUGAUGUUGAAUCUAAAGCGGCUGGUGUUUAACUUAGAUCUCCUUGGCACCCUUCUGUUUCUUCUUAAUGAAGAUAAAAUCUAAUACAUUUUAAAACUUUCCUAUCCCUUUUCAGACUGCUACUGAAGCCCACAGUACAGCACACAUGCUGAAUCUUUAUUGAAUAGCUUAUUUCACUUUAGGAAUGAGAAACAACUAGGUUCCUAUCAGCAUACAAAUUAUGCAAAAUUAGCGCUUUUCUAUUUUAUAAUUUGCUUCUUUUACUAUGCAUCUGAGAAUCUGAAAAGAAUCUGAAAAGACCUCUUCUUAACAUUACAGUUUAAAACUUGUUUAACAUCAAAUUAAUUUUAACUCAGCAGCAAGAGUAUAUCUAUAUAUUUUAAACCAAUUUAUCCUUUUUAGAAUCCCAUUUAACACAAUACCAUGUUUUAGAAACAUAUGUCUAUUAACAAAUAACUGAUAGGCUAGACUAUAUAUGUAAAUGUACCCUCAACUAUUACAUACACUGUACUUAAUACUCCAAGAUUUAUGUCAAAACUGUGAAAAUAAAAUAAAUAUUGGAACUUGAAAAUAAAUCUCAAAUUUGAGAUUUUUUUCCUUGUAUUCUGUUUAUUGACUUAACCCUGAUAACUGGUCAAAAAGCUAUCUUUUCUAUAUAUAUAUAUAUAUAUAUAUAUAUAUAUAUACACAGUGUAUCAAUAUUGGUCGGGACCACAUGUAAAUCAACAAUGGUCAAAAGGUAUUAUUAUUAUUAUUAUUAUGAUAUUUAUAUAGCGCCAUCAAAUUCCGCAGCGCUUUACAAUGUCUUAUGUCCUAUAGGUAUCGUCAGAUUUGUACAUCCACCAAGGAUUUGUAAAUCCACUACUUAUUGGCCACUCCCUGUUAAAAAGCUCAGUAAUUAAAACCCAUAAAAUUAUUGUUGCAUUGGAACUUCCUCUCUUUUGAUAGAAACACAUUCAUAUUUCUCCAGAUCGCCUUGAUUACUCCAUAUGUUCACCUUGUCUUUCCAAAGGAACAUGCUGAUUUUCCUUUUCCAGACCAUAUGGGUUCUAGAUAGACAGAUCAAACCGCCCAAAACUCAGAACCCCCUCUAUGAACCUAUAAAUAGAAAAAAUUAAACAGAGCGCCUGCUGGGCUUUUUAAUGAAAAUAGAUGUAUUUUUUUUCCCUAUGGUGACAAUUCAGUCUUUGUGAAGACUCUAUAACUAGGCAUACAUUCCUUUAGGCUUUUUUUCUACCGAGUAGGAGUGCAGUGAAACCAAAACACUAAACUGGCUAAUUCCAUAUUCCCCAACCACUGUUUAAGCAUUGCCUGUCAUUCACCUCUGGCAGAUCAUGGCCUUCUGCCUAGAGCAGUUGCAGUCAAAUAUCGACUGAUGGCUGCGGCUAUCAGUUUUUUUUACUUUAUUUCGGAUUAUAUAAAAACCUCUAAUUGAUGCUCUUUACCUUGAUUUUAUAUUGUUUAUUUUGUUAAUUUCAAAUUACCACUUUAAGCUCAUAACGAAGCUCCUACAUGUUUACACAUACAGUGUGACAUUAAUAUACUGUCAGCAAGCCACCCAAGUAUACGUGACAUGAUGGUUGUACUGCCUGCCAGCCAACUGUCAAAGGGACUGUGUGCAUGUAUUAAACAUGAAACAAUGCUGUUCAACAUGUUGGUGCUUUGAAAGUAAAAUUAAUAGUAAUAAUAAUAAAUAUUAAUUUUAUGCCAAUGCAUGUUAUAGAUUUAUAUUUUUUUUCAGGAUUUUGCAAACAUUUUAUACUGCUUGGGUAUGCAGGACCACAGAGUAUAGGUCUCACAUAAGAGUUUUCCUCUGACAAUGGGGACGUGUAUUUGGACCGGUAGGUGGGCAAUAGGUGGACAACUAUUGUGUUACAGUUGUGGAUUCCAGAAUGUUCAAACAUUUUAUUAUUCAUUUUAUAAGAUGUUCUUGCCUACAAAAUAAUUCCAGGACACUUUUCGUUGUAUAUGACACUGGAGUAACUUGAGGGGAAAAAAAGAUCGCUCAUAUAGAAAAAUAACACAACACGUAGUAAUGUCGCUUGAGAUUUUUUUUCAUAACUAAUGAGUGACAGAUCUAUUCUCUUUUUCGCAUGGUUACCAUAAUUGUCUAAAUCCCGUAACAGUUCAUUACAGAGAUGUCAGGAGAGACACAUUUUUCAUCUUUCAAUAUCAUAUUCAUAAAGAAAACCUCAAGACUCCAGAAAACAGAUUUGCAGGAACUUUCUGAGUAUCCAUCAUUAUUCAACGUACCGGUAUUUCUUUCAAACUGGAGAAUAGGCUAUAUGGAGAGAUUUUAGUGGGGUAUUUUUUUUGUUCUGAUAAUAGUCUUCAUAAAUCUGUACUAUCAAUAACUAUAGUGAUUUGAAGACAUUUGAAAAAUCUUCAUAAUUUCAAGUCUCUAACCUUUCCAAAGCUAAAUGGCAGAAGCAAAGUACUCUCGAGCUCCUUCUAAAUUAAAGAGAACUGUCUAGUAGUUUUAGUGCAAAUGGAAGAAAUGUUUUGCAAUAUUAUUUGUGAUGCACCAGUGCUUUACAAUGAGCUAGAGAGCACUUGACCAUGAAUAUAUAUCAACAUACCAAAUAGUUGCCGAACUUUGAAAAUACAAAUCGAUAAUUUAUCUUGAGGUCUAGCUCUGUUAGGUAUCGUUGAGUCAAUAAUAACAGAAAAUAUUCUCAGCUGAUUCCAGCUUUGUACAUGACUAGGAUGCAUUUUGUAUGCUGACACAGGAUUAUCCUGCAUUAUUGAAUCUGAGGUUUGAGAUUUGGUGGUGUGAUAUUGUUUUGUCCAUUGCUCUUGGAUCAUGAUGGAGCUAAACAGAGUCAUUGGCCUCAGCAGAAGACAAUGAGGUGCAAUGCCCUCAAUCUGUGGUAGAUAGGCUGAUUGUCAGAAUAGGUGCUUCAAAUUGCUGUCUUUCUUUCCUAAGCAGUUUCCCCUCUGUUUCAAUUUCCCACCCCGUCGUCCCUCUAUUUCAGUAGAACUUCACAGCAAUACACGUUGUAGUAUAAUUUCACGCACUGCCAAUUUAAUCUGUAGUAAACAAGUUUAGAAUUGUUAUAUGAUGAUAUAAAAUAUUAAUCAAUGUAAAUGAUCUAAAUUAUUUACAUAAAUGGCUACCCGUUGACAAUGAACUUCAUGGAACGUUCACUGUGCCCUACUGAGCCACACCUUUAGUCAUACCACUUAAAACUCACAUGUUCCUAUUUGGCUAGUUAAAAUGGUAUGACAAAUGUAUUUGUCAAGUUAGUAGAUGGUUACAUAUAUUUGUUAAAGUCUGGGACAUAAUGACACAGAGGGAUAUUGAGAAAGUUAGACAGACCAAAAGAGUUUCAAGGGACACUAUAGGAACCUAGACCACAACAUCUCAAAGGGUUGGCAAUGUUCACAUUGCAGGUGUUUAACCCCUUAACCCCUUAAGACCACAGCCAAAUGUACAAGUUGUGAUCAAAACAAAACGUAAACAAAACCUGGCAUUUGCGCUAUAUGUCUGUCCAACCGUAAUUCACCUCUUUCAUAUUAAAUGCACCCAUACUUAUUAUAUGUCAUUUUAUUCAGGGGAAACAGGGCUUUCAUUUAAUAUCAAAUAUUUAGGUAUGGAACAUAAUUUAAUAUGAAUAAAAUGUAAAACAAAUGGGAGAAAAUAAGAUUUUUUUUAAAUGUUCUUAGUUCUACGUGACAUAUGGCAGCCCAGGAAUAAGAAUUACCUCCAUGAUGGCAUACCAUUUGCAAAAGAAGACAACCCAUGGCAUACCAUUUCCAGUUUUUUUUAGUAGCCACUUGGUCACAAACACUGGCCAAAGUUAGUGUUAAAGGGACACUAUAGUCACCUGAACAACUUUAGCUUAAUGAAGCAGUUUUGGUGUAUAGAACAUGCCCCUGCAGCCUCACUGUUCAAUCCUCUGCCAUUUAGGAGUUAAAUCCCUUUGUUUAUGAACCCUAGUCACACCUCCCUGCAUGUGACUUGCACAGCCUUCCAUUAACACUUCCUGUAAAGAGAGCCCUAUUUAGGCUUUCUUUAUUUCAAGUUCUGUUUAAUUAAGAUUUUCUCAUCCCCUGCUAUGUUAAUAGCUUGCUAGACCCUGCAAGAGCCUCCUGUAUAUGAUUAAAGUUCAAUUUAGAGAUUGAGAUACAAUUAUUUAAGGUAAAUUACAUCUGUUUGAAAGUGAAACCAGUUUUUUUUUCCAUGCAGGCUCUGCCAAUCAUAGCCAGGGGAGGUGUGGCUAGGGCUGCAUAAACAGAAACAAAGUGAUUUAACUCCAAAAUGACAGUGAAUUGAGAGUGAAAUUGCAGGGGAAUGAUCUAUCCACUAAAACUGCUUUAUUUAACUAAAGUAAUUUAGGUGACUAUAGUGUUCCUUUAAUAUUUGAAAAUGCAAAAAACUAAUUUGAACGCCAACUUUGGCCAGUGUUUGUGACUAAGUGGCUACUAAAAAAGACUGAACAUACCCCAUUUGCAAUUCCUGCGCUAAACCUGGCGAAUUUUAAUGUGAAAAAACUGAAAUGCAAGCCUUAUAUUUGACGCUGUAACUUUUGAAAACACUAUAAAGCCUGUACAUGAGGGGUACUGUAAUGCUCGGGAGACUUCACUCAACACAAAUAUUAAUGUUUCAAAACAGUAAAACGUAUCACAACAAUUAUAUCGUCAGUGUAAGUGCCAUUUGUGUGUGAAAAAUGUAAUAAGUGUCAUUGUCACUGACGAUAUCGUCGUUGUAAUACAUUUUACUGUUUCGAAACACUAAUAUUUGUGUUCAGCGAAGUCUUCCGAGUAAAACCCUAUGUACAGGUUUUAUGGUGUCUUGGAAAGUUACAGCGUUAAAUAUAGUGCUAGCAAUUAAAUUCCCUGAACUUUCGGCCUGGGUUGUCAGGCAGGUCCUGCAAAUUAUAAUUAAUAAAAUGACCUAAUUAUGUAAAAUUAUUACAUAAAUAUAUAUGUAGAAUUAUAUAUAUAUAUAUAUAUAUAUAUAUAUAUAUAUAUGUGUUUAUAUAUGUAUAUAAUUUUUUAAAAUUAUUUUUAUUUAUAUAUAGGUAUAUAUAUAGUGAUAUAUAUAUUAUUUUGUUUUACAUGUAUUUUGAUAUCAAUAUAUAUAUAUAUAUAUAUAUAUAUAUAAAUUUUAAAAUACAGUUAGAACAAAAUUACACAUGUAUAUAUAUUUUUUUAUUUAUUUUUUAAUUUUUUUAAUUUUAUUUUUUAACGCAUUUAAAUAUUUAUUUAUUUUUUAUUAUAUAUAAAUAUAUAUAUAAUGAAAAUGAUAUAUAUAUAUAUAUAUUUAAUCAAUAUCAUUGUACGUGUAUUUUGAUAUUAAUAUAUAUAAUUAUGUAUAUAUUAAUAUUAAAAAAAACCUAGACAGUGUAUGUGUAUGUGUAUGUGUGUAUAUAUACUUAGAUCAUAUAUAUAAUAUGAUCUAAGUAUAUAUUAUUUAUUUUUACACUGUUUUAACAUGUUUUAUUUCCAGACUGCAGGGGGAGUACCUGUCAUUACAGGCACUCCCCCUGCUGGCAAUGCCUUGGACGGCUAUGCCGUCCAUGUGCUCGCGAGGUCCUUGCAAGGACCUUGCGAUCACAUGGCCCAGGGGGGGCCGAAGAGGACGGAGGGGGACUCCCUGGGCUCCCAGGUGAGUCCCCAUAACGCAAUCGCCGGCGUGGGAUCACCGGUGACCGGGUAAGUAAAUAAGAUCGCAGGGCCUUCUAUGCCGCCCUGCUGCGUUUAGAGCCAUCAAAAUAGGGACGGCAUAGAACGCCCUGCUGUCUUAAGGGGUUAAAUGCCUCUAGUGACUGUCACUAUGACAGCCACUACAGAUGCUUCUGCAAACAUAGCCCAGCCAAACCUGGCUAUUUCUAUUAGAUGGUCUCGUAGAGGUGCACGAACAGUAGCCUCUCCGUGCUUUCAUAUGGGAAAGCAUUAGAUUGGUUGAGAACAUCGAGCUCUAUGAUCUCAGCCAAAGAGGCAGGGCCAGACACAGGAGAGCAGUGUUAUAUGGGAGAAAAGGUAAGUAAACAGUUUUUUUUUUUACUUGUUGUGGGGGGGGGGGGGGGGCGAUGAGCUGGUCACCUCAAUGGUGUCUAGGAUACUAUAGGGUUAGAGUUGUACGCAUUUGUAUUCCUAAGACUAUAGUGCUCACAUAAGAAGAGUUUAUAGCAGAUACAGGCUGUUAUAUAAAAUAGAAUUAAUGUUGUGUGUUGUGGAAGACAGUUAUUGCUAGUGUUACUGAGAGCCAGGAUGUUAAAUUGUUUUAUCUUUGAUUUCUCUGGUUCUUUUCAGGGUGUGUGUCCCCUGUAGUAGGAGCAAUCGGAAACAUGGCAAAUGAUUCGCUUCACAGCAUUAACACCUCUCCCUUGGUGAAUACUUGUUGCUAUGGAGAUGAAACAACUCAGUUGUCUUUCCUUCAGCAGCUUAAAAACAUCACAUCUUUCUCUGUAUUGUUUUAGUUUUCUAGGGAUGCAUAACUCCCAUAUGUCACUCUUAAAGGGAUUAUCUGCUGCGCCAAAUAGGAAAAAUAAAUAAAAAACACUGUUUAGUAUUAUACUCCAACUUAAAACAUGCGUGUAUUAAUUAUGCAUUUUUUUCUCUUGUCUGCAGUCUUUCCAAUCUUUCCCUUCUAACCCCGCCCAGACAUACUGUGGCUGUCCAAUCACAGACUUCCCAAUGCUGCUCAAUAAGACGUCUUUGUAAGGUGCUCUGAGCAAUUACUGGAUUUCGAGUUUACCUCCACUGAGCUAACCAAACCAGGAAGUAACAGGACCAAUUGUAUGAUUGAAAGUCCACGAGGGAAGGAAACUUGGAAUUUUUGCAGAAGGAAAAAAGAGGACACACUAUUCACAUAUAAAGCACUUCAUCAAUGUAAAGUGCUUUAGGAGUUUGCAGUGUCUCUUUAAAGGGUUAUUAUAACCCUUUUGAGAAGGGGCCUUACUGGUUAAAUAUGCCUUAUUGGAUACUGUAGAGAAGGUACCCCUCUUCAUUUGAAAAAAAAAAAAGUUUUACUUACCUGGAAUCCAGCACCAGGUACGUUUACGUUGGUAUGAUUAAGAACAUUUUAGAUGUACAUUUUUGUUGCACACACCUAUAGAAAAUGGUGAGUUAGAUACCACGAACCAUGUGGGCAAUGGGAAUCGUGAUACAAGUCAUAUCAUUCUCCACUGACCUCUCCAUGUGAGUGUUGUUCUUUAACCUAGAAAACUGCAGCUCGCUGGAUAUAUUUUAUAUUUAUUGCAACAUGGACUGUAGAGUAUGAAAAUCUCAGUAGGUCAGUAAAUGCUGGGAAUACCAUGCCUGGCUGUAAUCCAUAUACUAUGGCCAAAGUUGCUUUGGUCAUAUACUUUCAGCAAUUUUAAUGUUUCUUUAAGCUAUAAGUCUUGACCAUCUAUGUAUGCUUUAUUGAGUUGCAGUCCUUUGGUUAGCUGCGUGGCUGCAUUAACUUAAAGGUGUGCCUAAACAAUACCUACUGAUACCCGCCUUGCUCAUACAACAAAGCAACACAAACUCUAAAAAACAAAAUUGAAAUUAAAGUUUAUUGCUUUGUUCAAGUGUACCAAUGUAAACAGCAUGGCUCCCCUUUUAUGUUAUUACUCGUGUAUAGUUGCAGUAUUUUAUACAUACAUACUGGUAUCCUAAAGUAUAUACCAUGGAUUUAAAUGCCCUAUAAAUGUGAUCUAACCAUACACAAGAGCUCAUACUAAGGAAAAAAAGACUCUCUUAUCUUAAUGUUCACUAACCUAAAAUUGAUUGAGGCUAAUUAGCAGAAUGCUUCUUCAGGGACUGACUUCCCUAACAGAUUGGAGAAGUGUAAUUGAGAACGCUCCAAGUCAAAGCUGAAAUCUCCUGAAAAUUAGCAAGUAUCAGUUUCUUCAGCAACAUGCUGUUACGUACCACAUUAUUAUUAUGUACAGCAGAAUCGGGUCACUACUCUUUAGAUAAGAGUGAUGAACAAAAUGUUAAUUAUCUGCUAAUGUGAUUAUCAGGUGUUGAUUUAAAGCUAUGGUCAUGAUUAUAGGGUUCUUGACAUCAAAGAUGACAUGUAGAUGUAUAUUGUCUUUUUAGCUAUACGUGUUCUUAUUUACUAAAAGCUAUGACAUUAGAUUUUCUGUGUCCUCAGUUAUCUGAUGUUAUGGUAAGCACAUUGCCCCUCUAAGCCUGUUCAGAAGCAACUAGGGUGCGUGGAAUGUUAAUUGUAAUGGUUAUAAUGCAUUUUUCAACCUAGAUUUCCAUGGUACUAUGACAGUGCACUUCCAUCAUACCAAUUCAUAUUGAUGAAAGAUCAGCGUUAUUAGGGUAACACCUACAACAGAAUUACAUUUGGAGAUACUAGGACUUUACAAGCCAAUAGUCAAAUGUAUCCUCUAGAAUGUAAGCUCAUUGAGCAGGGCCCGCCACCCCCUCUGUUCCUGUACGUCCAGUUGUCUGGUUACAAUUACAUGUCUGUUAGUCCACCCAUUGCACAGCGCUACGAAGUCUGAUGGUGCUAUAUAAAUAAUAAAAUAAAAAUAAUAAUUUAGUUCUAUUAGCAUGGGGCUAGAUACAAGAAGUCACAUGGUCUGAGCAUCUCUCACAGUCCUUGACUAGUUCCAGCCUAUUCCCAAUAUUCCAUGCUUUUUGCAAGUCUAUAUACUAAAAAACCUUUCAAUUCUUAUCAUGCUUUUUAUCGUCAGAACAUCAAAAUCUUAUCAUUUACACAGCUUUUGAGUUAAUGAAACUAAAAUAAUUAUAGCAAUGGCGCCAUAAAUUCUUAUGUACGUUAACAUUCAUAAUUACCUCUUCAGAAUCUGCUCAUUAGGUUUUUUGUUUAACCUUUUUAGCACAAUUCUCCAUGCAGUUAUCUUGAUAUAAGUUUGUGAGGCAAAUUUAGUCCAUCCUGCCCUAUUUUGGUUUCUUCCACUGUACUUACAUAACAAAUACUUGUAAUGGGAAAGAUAAACUACAGAAAUAUCUUAUUGCAAAUUACUUACUCAAGUGAGUUAGAACAAGAUGUUAAUCGUUUAAAUUAAAGUAAAUGUAAAGCAAAUAUAAAGGACUGGGCUGUAAUAAAGAGCAGAUUAUUAGCCACUUGCAGUUCGAAAUGCUCUGGAUAUAAACACCUCGGAACAUCUAAGCCAUAUCACAUUUGUGUGUGUUGUGCAAUGUCCUUUGUCAAUCCAUCUAAUGUAAGCAGUUAGUUUAACAAGUACAGACAGCAUCUAAAUGUUUCUGUUAAUAGAAGCAGUUAAUGUUUAGUGCUAUCAAAGGGGAUAAGGAGAAACUGAAAGAGAUGAUGCGUGUGGCAGCUGGACAUAUAAUGACAUGCAGUAGAGGAAAUGGGAAGGCAAAUGAUCUACAGGAAAGGGAAUAGGAAGAAUAAUGAUAGGUAGGAGAUGAACUAGUAAUUCAAAUAGAUUAUCGUAUCAGAAAUGGAAAGGAUAAUAGAGUGCCACACAUAGGCGUGCGCAGCCUAUUGCAUUAGGGUGUGCACCCUAAAGCACAAACACGUCGCGUGUAUAUGUAUUUAUGUAUGUAUGUAUAUAUAUAUGUAUAUAUAUAUAUAUAUAUACACACACACAUACAUAGCUCUGUGUGUGUGUGUGUGUGCUGCUAGUGUGCUGUGUGUGUAAGGGUGCUGUGUGUGUGGGUGCUGUGUGUGAGGGUGCUGUUAGUGUGAUGUGUGUAUGAGGGUGCUGGUAGUGUGCGUGUUUGUGAGGGUGUUGUGUGUGAGGGUGCUGUUUCUGUGCUGUGUGUGUGUGAGGGUGCUGUUUGUGUGUGUGUGUGUGUGUGUGUGUGUUUGUUAGGGUCCUGUUAGUGUGCUGUGUGUGUGUAGGUGCUGUAUGUAUGAGGGUGCUGUAUGUGUGUAGGUGCUGUGUGUAUGUGGGUGUUGUGUGUGUGUGGGUGCUGUAUGUGUGUGCUGUAUGUGUGUGUGUGCUGUAUGUAUGAGGGUGCUGUAUGUGUGGGUGUUGUGUGUGUGUGUGUGUGGGUGCUGUAUGUGUGUAGGUACUGUAUGUUUGGGUGAUUGUGGGGGUGGAGGUGGGGGUAGAUUACUUAAUAUCCCUCCUCCCUUCUUACCUUAUGUAGGGAGGGGGAUCCUUGUUCCUGCUGCCAUCCCUGGUGGUCCAGUGGAGAGUGCGGGCUAGAGCUCCCCGGGUCCUCUCCUGCCUCCCUCCAUGCUGCAGUGGGCCGGUGGGGAGGGAGGCUUAGAGUAGAGCCAGCACUCGAAUAGCGCCGGCUCAGCAUGAGCCAACAGGGGAGAUCCUGAGGUCUCCCCUGCCGGUCUCAAUCCAUAGGCGUGCCGCGGGGAUUAGGGUGUGCCCAGGCACACCCAGCACACCCCGUGCUCACGCCUAUGGUGCCACAAGAGAGAUAGGAGUGAUAAUGGAAUGUGGAAGAGGAAAUAGAACAGAUAUUUACAUGUAAAGAAGUAGAAAUGUAAAGGAGAUGUGUCGUGGUGUAAAUAGAAAGACAUGAUAUGUAGGAUCAAAAAUGAAGAUAACACUUAGGAGCAAAUAGGGAAGCAAAAGUAAACACGGGAGGUCUGAUUAGUUAUAUAUGGAAUCUUUAGAGUGGAUUAACAACCCAUUUUUAAUACAUGAUCGUUUAUUCAUUAAACAGUGAAUUGUAGUAAACUGGAAUUUGGAUUGCAAAAGUUUGGGCAAAGGGGCUGAAUCAGCAAUAUUAUUUAACCCAGUUUUAGCUACUUUGUAGGAUUUCAGACUAAGGCAUUUCUUUUAAAGGGGCAUUAUAGUCACCAAAACAACUUUAUGAAGCAGUUUCUGUGUAUAGAGCAUGCCUCUGAAGUUUCACUGCUCAAUUUGCUGCCAUUUAGGAGUUAAAUCACUUUUGUUUCUGUUUAUGCAGCCCUAGCCACGCCUCCCCUGGCUGUGACUAACACAGCCUGCAUGAAAAUAAAAUGGUUUUAUUUUCAAUCAGAUGUAACUUACUUUAAAAGUUUGUAUCUUAAUCUCUGUAGAUUGAACUUUAAUAGCAUACAGGAGGCUCCUAAAGGGUCUAGCAAGCUAUUAACAGAGCAAGAGAUAAGUGAUUCUAAAUUAAACGGAAUUGGCAAUGAAGGAAGUGUAAACAUUAGAUGACUCUUUACAGGAAGUGUUUAGGAAGGAAGCCUGAGGCUUCGAUUUAAUAAACUUUCUGAAUGAUUCAAUACUGUUAGAAAUACUUUCCAGUUGAUUUAUGUACCAUUAAAGCCUAUGGGGAGUUUUGUAGAUAAAUCAUUUGCAAAGCUUUCUAACAGUAUUAAAUCAUUUUAAAAGCUUAUUACAUUUUUCAAUCCUGUUUUCAAUUUCCUGCUGUUUGCCAUUUAGUGAAUAUGUAUUAUGUGAAUGGUAAAAAUGUAAACAAAAAAGCAAAAGGAAAGUAAUAUCCAAAUGUUCAUUUACUGGAGCAAAUUCUCUGACUCUGAAUCUAUAUGAUUCUUUAUCCAGGAUGUGAAAUAUAUCAUCCUAUCUUGGUUCCUGCUUAGGAUUGUAUGAGAGAGAUGUUUCAUAAAUCUCUGCAUGACAUGGGCUUAUGGAAUCUGUAGAGCAGCCCUAUUUUCUGCAGUAACUGAAAACAAAUAAGGCUUGCUUGAAAAUGUUGAUUAAAUGGACAAAAUAAUGUGCAAGAGUAUCAAUGUGUAGUGGUACUUACCCGGUCCUCGUGUCUCAUGCCACGCACUCCUGCUUCCGAGCAUGCCGACUUUUAUGAUUGGUCCUGCAUCCCGCAUGUUAUAAGUCAGAAUGGCGCUCGCAUACAGAGCAUGUUCUUAAAGGGGAAAUGGGUGCCCCAGAUCACUUCCUGCUCACAUUGGUCCACGUCAUACUGGUGCCCCCAAAACCCACGUAAAAGUAUUUAAACUUUCUUGGCCUUAUCUACUGUGCCCUACUGUGGUUUCUCUUCCCAUUACCCUUUACUACAUUCUUUGAUUGAUUGUGUAUAUUAUGGUAUUGACCUUGGCUUUUUGUUUCUCUGAGUUUGUCUUUAACUCUUUCCUGUCUUGUUUGCCUGUUUGACUAUUACCAUGUACCUGACUCUGGCUAGUUCAAAGUUUUCCCUGUCUCUCUGUCACCCUGACCUGAUUAUCAGGACGAACCAGUGACCCAACAUGCAGAAUUAAGUAAACCACGUAACAAAUGCAAACAGUAACAACGUAUUACCAGGCCUUAGAAUGACCGGAAUCAAGGUAAUAGAAUAAACAGUCAUGAGCCAAGGUCAGAAAUACAGAAAGAAACAAUUACGGAAAGGACAAAGGCAAAGGGUCAGGGAAAUCCGAAAUACGGAAAGUCAAGUCAAGCCAAGAUCAAAAACCAAUAAUCAGAAUUAGGAACUUGCUCUCGGAUAACCAACAGGAUGGAACCCACUACAGGGCACUGAACAAAUGCAGGUUUGGGUUUAAAUAACCCAGUAAAUCCUGCUAUUGACUGAUUUGGGUCCCAUGACCCCAGUACGUGUGUGCAUGGCGAAAACGUGAUGCCACAUGCAUGUUCACGUCACUAGUGACAUCAUUGUGGGCAGCGUUGUUAAUUAGCGCCGUCUUGUAGCAGCCGCCGUCCCUCCCAAUGCUGGACUCGGCCGCCGUUCCACAAACAGCAUUGAGGGAGAGGCUCUGAGGGUGAGUUGAGUAACCUCUCCCUUCUUUACUGCGACCAGGCCCGGCCACACUGUGGUGCCGAUUGGGCACUGCGAUAGUGUGACUGUACCGAUUAGGUUCAGUCACACUGAGGUGCCGAUCAGGCACCGUGACACUGGGUUUGCAUUUUGGCUAUGCUUUACUCUCUGUCUAAUGUUAAGUCUGGCCACUCUAACGCCCGUAUUGAGUUUAUUUCCUUUGCCUAUCACUUGCUAUCCUAAACUCUGCGUGUUGGGGUUUUACCUUGUGACAAGAUGAGGGUCAUGAUAUAAGCAUAAGAUAUACUGAUGUAAGUAUGAUGUGGCAGAAUCAUGACAUGUAUGAGUUGAAGGAGGGAAACAAGCACAUUGUUUAUUUGGAGUCGUGAAUAUUACGCGGAGUAAUUGAGAUGGUCAUGAAUGGAAUAUUAGCACAAUGAAGGAGAUCCAUCAAAGUGCUCUGUUCAAAAUAAUAGUUUUAAGUACUAAAAGAGAGAAAAUCAUCAUGUAAAACAGUUGAACUAGCAGACACAUUCCAUUGAUGACUCGUCCCCUUUGAAAUUUUUGCACCACUUUUUAGAAUAGAACACUUUGAUAAAUAACCCCAAUGUGCAAUAGGAAGUUGUGCUUGAUAUGAAGGGGUGCAGAUGAAUAUAAUAUUUGGGAUGAAAGCUUGACAUAAAGUAAGGGACCUGGAAGAACUCAGUUAUAUCUUCUAUAUUAUUUAUAAUGGAAAUUGAAAAUAAUAAAUGGAGAAAUAAUGACAGAAAAAGGAUAGAAAAAUAUAAUGAAUCAGUUUGGAGGAACUGCUGUUGAUGUAAUUAUCACACGGGGUAUGUGCGACAGAAUAUUUUCAUUAAACUCAGCAAAUGUAUGCAAACGCACAGCAUAGUAUCCAUGUAAGGGAGAAUUACCUGUUUGAAUAAAUGUUAUAGAUAUAGAGCUAAACUACAGAAAUAACCCCCUAGUACAUCAAAAAUGGAUUUGUUAAUAUUAUAACUAUUUCAUAAUAGAAAGGUUGUAUUGUUGCGUACAAUGGUCCUGUGUUCAGUUAUUGUAGCUUUAAAUCUAUCCCAUUGCACUAAUUCAACAAGUGAGUCACUAUAAUGAUAUAGAUAUUAUUUCAAAGCCAGCAUAUUACAUUUUAAUGUUUGUUUUUAUUAUAUGUAUCACUGCUUUGUUGGAGGUGUUAAUAUUUGUGUUGGUUUCUUUUAUCUGAUUACACUGCCCAAUGAACUUUCAUUGGCAAGUGCUGUACCAUUGCAUGCCAAGUAACUUGGUCUAGAAGUUAAUCUCUUUGUGUAUAGGAGAAGUUUUUUAUGUUAUUUUAAUUCUUUAUUUCUUUUAUUGUUAGAAGAGGAGUCAACAGACCAAGUGCAGGUAUAUAUUCAGUCAGAACUAAUGCGAAUCCCGGACAGACAACCCCAUCUCGGGCAUUGCAGCAGGUAAAAUAAGCAGAUAUUAGUAUGCAGUUAAAGAAGAUCAAGUGAUACAGGAUACAACUACAACGGGGAGAGAAGAUUUCCUGGGUCUUCUAAUUUGUGAAUGUUCGCUAACUUAUAUACUAUGCACCUGAGUUGUCAUGAACCUGUGUGCCAUCCUAUCAAACCUUUUUUUAA
This is a non-coding RNA of Pelobates cultripes (western spadefoot toad), 18197 nucleotides long. NCBI's taxonomy places the organism in Eukaryota, Metazoa, Chordata, Amphibia, Anura, Pelobatidae. The record is from the annotation of a GenBank genome assembly.